AGAGUUUGAUCCUGGCUCAGAUUGAACGCUGGCGGCAUGCCUUACACAUGCAAGUCGAACGGCAGCGCGGACUUCGGUCUGGCGGCGAGUGGCGAACGGGUGAGUAAUACAUCGGAACGUACCCUGUUGUGGGGGAUAACUAGUCGAAAGAUUAGCUAAUACCGCAUACGACCUGAGGGUGAAAGUGGGGGACCGCAAGGCCUCACGCAGCAGGAGCGGCCGAUGUCUGAUUAGCUAGUUGGUGGGGUAAAGGCCCACCAAGGCGACGAUCAGUAGCUGGUCUGAGAGGACGAUCAGCCACACUGGGACUGAGACACGGCCCAGACUCCUACGGGAGGCAGCAGUGGGGAAUUUUGGACAAUGGGGCAACCCUGAUCCAGCAAUGCCGCGUGUGUGAAGAAGGCCUUCGGGUUGUAAAGCACUUUUGUCCGGAAAGAAAUCGCGCUGGUUAAUACCUGGCGUGGAUGACGGUACCGGAAGAAUAAGCACCGGCUAACUACGUG
This 503-nucleotide ribosomal RNA is filed under the name uncultured bacterium. Its description in RNAcentral is "bacterial SSU rRNA". It matches the Rfam family "Bacterial small subunit ribosomal RNA", at positions 8 to 507 of the family's 1533-position model. The record is from RNAcentral.